Eriocheir sinensis (Chinese mitten crab) is the source of this 1275-nucleotide long non-coding RNA. RefSeq lists it as uncharacterized. NCBI's taxonomy places the organism in Eukaryota, Metazoa, Arthropoda, Malacostraca, Decapoda, Varunidae. The record is from RefSeq and is a predicted model, not a curated record. The transcript is spliced from 2 exons.
AACAACCUGUAGAAGUCCAUGCAACUCUGUUUAAACAUUAUCUUUCUUACCAGCAAUGAUUUUAGCUUUGCAAUUUGAGGCUGUUUUUUUUUAGCUGCCCACAAUUUGUUCAUGAAAGAAAAGACACGUUCAGUGGAAGCAUUAGUUCCAGGAUGGCACAUUAUGAACUGAAGCAUAUCUGACAUGCGUUGAUGGUUGUUUUUGUCUUUGACAUGGGAGAAUACAUCAACCCACCGCUGUUACGUAUAUCAUAUGAGCAUUAUUGUUUAAUAAUUUGUGAAUAUAAAGAUUAAACAAGUGGGACUCAAAUCACUCCGUUAAUAUUAUGGUGAUAUCUGGUGUCUGAGUGUCUCCCUUCCUCUCUAUCCCUCCUUUAUGGGGGUCCUGUCCCGCUCCCCCCAGCAGAGCUGAGGUGGUGGGGGUGAUCGCACUCUUACCAACCCUGCCGAGAUUACCGAGUUGCUCAGUGGCAGGGUUGGAGUAAUUGUAAUUGUAAUUUAAUUGAAAUGUAAUUAAUUACAUUAAAGUAUGUAACUGUAAUUGUAAUUGUAAUUGGAUGUAGAACUUAAUGAAGUAAUGUAAUUAUAAUUAAUUACAUUAUAAAGUAAUUGUAACUUAAUUGUAAUUGCGAAAAAAGUAAGUCAUACUAAAAUUCUGAUAAUCCUUGUUUUUACUGCUAUGGUGGCAAAUAUGUAAAUACUGUAUAUGAUGAAGUAUGGCAACCCUUACUGGACAACCUACGUAUUAUACGAGAAUCAGACGCGUCCACUCUUCCCUGUUUGGUGGACUGGGACAUAUUUCAUUGCUUCCUAGACCGUCAUACGGCAAAGUCCUCCUCUUGACUUUCUAUUGUAAAGACAAAGAGGACACCUGAGCCAACGUAAAAAAAGAAGAAGAAAAGUAAAAGUAGGACGAGGAGGAAAAUUCGGGAAUGAACUUGUGAAGAUGGCGCAAGAAGAGGAAGAGAAGGUAAUAUAAGAAGGAGGAAGAGCCCUAAGAUGACGUGGAUGAGGCAAAAUUAAUGGAGGAAGAGGGCCAAUAAGGUGAUAAAAAAAUAUGAGGAAGAGGAGGCUGCGGGGAGCCAGCUGGACGAUUCUAUGAAGAGUCAGUUAAUGUCAUUCACCCAUUUCUGCACACGUUUGGACACACACUUUACGUAAGAUAAUAUAACAACUAUCAUCACCAACAUCACAGGUACUAUCACCAUUAUCACCACCACCACCGCCUGUAACACAUUCUAAAUCACCACUAUCAACAAUAAAACUACGACCUCUA